GUAGGUGAACCUGCGGAAGGAUCAUUAUCGUGGGGCUCCGGCCCCGUCGAGAAAACACCCUUGCCUUUUUCGAGCACCGUCCGUUUCCUCGGCAGGCACGCCUGCCAAUGGGGACCCAAACCAAACCCUUUUGUACCUGCAACCGUCUGAGAAACAAUCAAUUAUCAAAACUUUCAACAACGGAUCUCUUGGUUCUG
Molecule: unclassified non-coding RNA, 197 nt
Filed under: rhizosphere metagenome
Description: partial ribosomal RNA internal transcribed spacer region
Source: RNAcentral